This is a long non-coding RNA of Lycium ferocissimum, 775 nucleotides long. RefSeq lists it as uncharacterized. The transcript is spliced from 3 exons. Lineage: Eukaryota; Viridiplantae; Streptophyta; Magnoliopsida; Solanales; Solanaceae. The record is from RefSeq and is a predicted model, not a curated record.
UUUUGAUGCAGCUUCUUUCCAGGCAAAGCAACUAAAAUGAUUUCAAAGAUAAUCAAAGGACUUUAUAGAGGCGUCGUUCCGUCUUGGGGCAAGGUGCCAGUGAAACUGAAGAAGCAGAUGUUUCUAGAAUUUAGGACAAAGUGUUCUUGGAAGCCGGAACAUCAUGAUUUAGUAGCGCAAAAUUUUGAGAAAAAAGCAGCGAAAAUACUUAAGGAUGCGUUACUUAGAGUACGUGCUAGUUGCCUGCAGCCUGACUGGAUCCAAGAUGAAUAGUGGAAGGACCUACUGCACUACUGGGCGACUGAUCCGGUGUUUUUGAAACGAAGUGCAAAUGGGAACGCCGCCAGAGCCUCAGGGAAGGGUGGAUCGCUACACACGAGUGGGGUCACGAGCCAAGUGGACUUGAUGAAGCGGCUGGAGCUACAGAGGGGUCAGGCAGUACCUCAAGAUGAGAUCUUCAAGAUUACUCACACGAGGAAGGAGAAGAACGCCGAUAGUACAGACCGAUGGGUUGAGCCCAGGGUUGAGCGAACUUGGGUAAGUCAUUAGUUAACAAUAAUAUUCUAUCUUUUGUACUAAAUUAGACUACUAACAUUGUAUCCUUCAAUUUCAGAAUGAAUUUCAAUAACACUUUGGGGAGUUUCGAGCCACUUAGCCAAGUCGCACGCCGAUGACCGAAGAGGUAAUACAACAACAGUGGAUUGAGAAGGUUGCUCCCCCAACAAGGCAUGGGACAGUUUAUGGAAUGCCUAAUCGAGCCUUUCGUCGAUACCCG